RNAcentral lists this ribosomal RNA (491 nucleotides) under uncultured bacterium. Its description in RNAcentral is "bacterial SSU rRNA". It matches the Rfam family "Bacterial small subunit ribosomal RNA", at positions 903 to 1397 of the family's 1533-position model. The record is from RNAcentral.
AAAGGAAUUGACGGGGACCCGCACAAGCAGCGGAGCAUGUGGUUUAAUUCGAAGAUACGCGAAAAACCUUACCAAGACUUGACAUCGCCCGACAACCCCAGAAAUGGGGCUUCCCUUCGGGGCGGGUAGACAGGUGGUGCAUGGUUGUCGUCAGCUCGUGUCGUGAGAUGUUGGGUUAAGUCCCAGAACGAGCGCAACCCUUAUCGUCAGUUGCCAUCAUUUAGUUGGGAACUCUGACGAGACUGCCGCGGAUAACGCGGAGGAAGGCGGGGAUGACGUCAAAUCAUCAUGCCCCUUACGUCUUGGGCUACACACGUGCUACAAUGGCCGCCACAAAGAGACGCAAAACGGCAACGUCGAGCAAAUCUCAAAAAAGCGGCCUCAGUUCAGAUUGUGGGCUGCAACCCGCCCGCAUGAAGACGGAGUUGCUAGUAAUCCCGAAUCAGCAUGUCGGGGUGAAUGCGUUCCCGGGUCUUGUACACACCGCCCGU